RNAcentral lists this ribosomal RNA (147 nucleotides) under Gossypium hirsutum (cotton). Its description in RNAcentral is "5.8S ribosomal RNA". The stretch from base 26 to 147 matches the Rfam family "5.8S ribosomal RNA", at positions 36 to 154 of the family's 154-position model. From Rfam's summary of the family: 5.8S ribosomal RNA (5.8S rRNA) is a component of the large subunit of the eukaryotic ribosome. It is transcribed by RNA polymerase I as part of the 45S precursor that also contains 18S and 28S rRNA. The record is from Rfam by way of RNAcentral. Lineage: Eukaryota; Viridiplantae; Streptophyta; Magnoliopsida; Malvales; Malvaceae.
CACUAUUCCGACUAGGCCCAAAAUCAGGAUAUUACAUAGCGAAAUGCGAUACUUGGUGUGAAUUGCAGAAUCCCGUGAACCAUCGAGUCUUUAAACGCAAGUUGUGCCCCAAGCCAUUAAGUCGAGGGCACGUCUGCCUGGGUGUCA